RNAcentral lists this transfer RNA (57 nucleotides) under Caenorhabditis remanei. It matches the Rfam family "tRNA", at positions 8 to 63 of the family's 71-position model. From Rfam's summary of the family: Transfer RNA (tRNA) molecules are approximately 80 nucleotides in length. Their secondary structure includes four short double-helical elements and three loops (D, anti-codon, and T loops). Lineage: Eukaryota; Metazoa; Nematoda; Chromadorea; Rhabditida; Rhabditidae. The record is from Rfam by way of RNAcentral.
UGGUGUAAUGGUCAGCAUGGAUGCCUUCCAAGCAUUCGACGGGGGUUCGAUUCUUUU